GCUGGCGGCGUGCCUACACAUGCAAGUCGCACGAGAAAGUGGAGCAAUCCAUGAGUAAAGUGGCGCACGGGUGAGUAACACGUGAAUGAUCUACCUCCGAGUGGGGAAUAACCUAGAGAAAUCUGGGCUAAUACCGCAUAACACUUACGAGUCAAAGCAGCAAUGCGCUUGGAGAGGAGUUCGCGGCCGAUUAGUUAGUUGGCGGGGUAAUGGCCCACCAAGACGAUGAUCGGUAUCCGGCCUGAGAGGGCGCACGGACACACUGGAACUGAAACACGGUCCAGACUCCUACGGGAGGCAGCAGUGGGGAAUUUUGCGCAAUGGGGGAAACCCUGACGCAGCAACGCCGCGUGGAGGAUGAAAUCCCUUGGGAUGUAAACUCCUUUCGAUCGGGACGAUUAUGACGGUACCGGAAGAAGAAGCCCCGGCUAACUUCGUGCCAGCAGCCGCGGUAAUACGAGGGGGGCAAGCGUUGUUCGGAAUUAUUGGGCGUAAAGGGCGCGUAGGCGGUUUGACAAGUCUGAUGUGAAAUCUCUGGGCUCAACUCAGAGUCUGCAUUANAAACUGUCGGGCUUGAGUAUGGGAGAGGUGCGUGGA
This 597-nucleotide ribosomal RNA is filed under the name uncultured bacterium. RNAcentral describes it as "bacterial SSU rRNA". It matches the Rfam family "Bacterial small subunit ribosomal RNA", at positions 35 to 665 of the family's 1533-position model. The record is from RNAcentral.